RNAcentral lists this ribosomal RNA (936 nucleotides) under Triticum aestivum (bread wheat). RNAcentral's name for it is "partial small subunit ribosomal RNA". Lineage: Eukaryota; Viridiplantae; Streptophyta; Magnoliopsida; Poales; Poaceae. The record is from RNAcentral.
AUGGACCAGUUCCACGACAGGCAUCACGUGCGGCUGCGGAGCUGCGUGCUCCGCACGUACCUCCACGCCGACCACGACGGGGAGCGCGUCUCCCUCAGCCGGUGCCGUGACUCGCUGAACACGGCGUGGGUGGUGCACAUCCACCAACUCGCCGACGGCCCGUACCUGCUCCUCCACAGCGCCGCCUACGGCCGCUACCUCGGCACCACGUUCAAGCCGGCGCCGCUCGGCCGCCACGGCUGCCGCACCGAGCAGCGCGACUACGACGACGAGCAGGACUUGAUGGCCGUCAUGUGGAAGGCCGCCAGGGCGGGCUUCCGUGACAUCGUCCUGCUCCGCAGCGUCGCCGGCCGCUACCUCCGCGCCAACGGCAGGUACCUCCCCUGGAACACCGGUGUGACCGUCGACAACAAGGUCAGCGCCCUGAUGUACUGGACCGUCGAGCCCAUCCCCGCCAGAGAGGGUCCGCCUGGCCUCCAAGGCCCGAUUCACACCCCCAGCCCCGGAUACCACUCCCUCAUGCUCUGGCGCAAUCCGGUGGUGUCACGGCUGAUCCGGUUCAUGCUGUCCGAUCCCAACGGCCCCAUCUACACCCAGCACUGCUGGACCACGUUCCGGUUUAGGGGGAGGUCCGUGUUCCACCUGAGGGACGAGGUGGCCAGGCGCAUCGCCUUCGUCCUGGACGGGCGUCAGUCCUUCGACCUCGUAAUGUGCGUCCGAGCGGGCCGCCAGGGGCGUCUGACCCCACUCGUCGUCGACCUGCCCAGCAGCGGCUACGGUGAGACCCUCUGGAUUGUCGUCUUCAUGUCCUGGACCCCAGGUGACAGCCACUCUCCGUGUCCUAACUUCCUAAUGAUCUCCUUCGUAAUGGUGGCAACAAGUGAACCUGUAAUCUUGACUCAAUUUACUAUGCGCGAUGUACAGAUUUUGGUUUAA